AAAAAAAUAAUAAUAAUUCUUUGUUUUAUUUUAAUUUCCCUUUAUGAAAUGGUUUUAUUUUCUAGCUGCUGUUACAGUCAUGAGGACUGAAAAAUUUUGAAUUCCUGUAAUAUGAAAGCUCAAAUUCCCAUCUAAUCACUUGUUUCCCAGAGCCAGACCAACUUUCGGGAGACGAUCAAAGAACUGCUGGAGAGGGACCUGAGUGCCAGACACAGAGGACAAUGCCUGGGUCUAUAUUGCUCUAUCUGAUAAUAACCAGAUUAUAGCUCCACAAUCCCAACAAAGAGACACAAGCAGUAUGAAGAAAGAGGAAGAUUCUUUCUCUGCUGAAGGACUGAAUGCACAAUCAUCUGCAAGCUUUGUAUAGCUGCCUUCCCUAAUCCCAGAGUCAAGCUAGCCUUCUGUUGGAUAGGAACACAUACACUUGAAGGAGUCCAACCCAAAGAGAAAUACCCAAAAGGAUGAACAGGAAUCCACUUUUUCUGAUGUCUCUGUCUGUCAGCAAACUGCAGAAGCACACAGUUUUCCAUCCUCACGGACGAAGAGCAGAAGAUUUAUCUGGAGAACGUCCGUGGGAAUAAACAUGUUUUGUCCCUUCUCAGACAAAUGACACAGGUCGUCUGAAGACCUGCUAUUUAUGAACUCCAAGCCUAGCAGAGGUGAGUGGCUGUGUCUCUAAAUAUCAUGUUUCCUAUAUUUAAAUAGGAAAG
This 710-nucleotide long non-coding RNA is filed under the name Struthio camelus australis. Its description in RNAcentral is "lncRNA (ENSSCUG00000014893.1)". Lineage: Eukaryota; Metazoa; Chordata; Aves; Struthioniformes; Struthionidae. The record is from RNAcentral.